GAGUUUGAUCCUGGCUCAGGACGAACGCUGACGGUGUGCUUUAGGCAUGCAAGUCGAACGAGAAAGCCCUUCGGGGUUAGUAAAGUGGCGAACGGGUGAGUAACACGUGGGCAACCUGCCCCUCGCAGGGGGACAACCGGAGGAAACUCCGGCUAAUACCCCGUACGCUUGUUGGAUCGCAUGGUCCGGCAAGGAAAGGUAGCUUCGGCCAUCCGGCGAGGGAUGGGCCCGCGUUGCAUUAGCUAGUUGGUGGGGUAACGGCCCACCAAGGCAACGAUGCGUAACUGGUCUGAGAGGAUGAUCAGCCACACUGGGACUGAGACACGGCCCAGACUCCUAUGGGAGGCAGCAGCCAGGAAUCUUGGGCAAUGGGCGAAAGCCUGACCCAGCAACACCGUGUGGGUGACGAAGGCCUUAGGGUCGUAAAGCCCUGUUGAUAGGGACGAAGGGCGAAGGGUUAAUAGCCCCUAGCUUGACGGUACCUUUCGAGGAAGCCCCGGCUAACUACGUGCCAGCAGCCGCGGUAAUACGUAGGGGGCGAGCGUUGUCCGGAAUUAUUGGGCGUAAAGAGCGUGUAGGCGGUUCGGUAAGUCUGCUGUGAAAUCCUGGGGCUCAACCCUGGGCGUGCAGCGGAUACUGCCGGGCUAGAGGGUGGUAGAGGCGAGUGGAAUUCCGAGUGUAGCGGUGAAAUGCGCAGAUAUUCGGAGGAACACCAGUAGCGAAGGCGGCUCGCUGGGCCACACCUGACGCUGAAACGCGAAAGCGUGGGGAGCGAACAGGAUUAGAUACCCUGGUAGUCCACGCCGUAAACGAUGGAUACUGGUGUGGGCCGAGUCCAAUUCUGUCUGUGCCGAA
Molecule: ribosomal RNA, 855 nt
Filed under: uncultured bacterium
Lineage: Bacteria
Description: bacterial SSU rRNA
Rfam family: Bacterial small subunit ribosomal RNA
Source: RNAcentral